UCCCAUGCGGGGCAGGCGACGAGCGUAU
Molecule: small RNA, 28 nt
Filed under: Bombyx mori (domestic silkworm)
Lineage: Eukaryota; Metazoa; Arthropoda; Insecta; Lepidoptera; Bombycidae
Description: piRNA piR-bmo-1468699
Source: RNAcentral